UACGUAGGGGGCAAGCGUUAUCCGGAUUUACUGGGUGUAAAGGGAGCUAGGUGUUUAGACAAGUCAGAAGUGAAAGCCCGCGGCUCAACUGCGGGACUGCUCUUGAAACUGCCAGACUGGAGUGCAGGAGAGGUAAGCGGAAUUCCUAGUGUAGCGGUGAAAUGCGUAGAUAUUAGGAGGAACACCGGUGGCGAAGGCGGCUUACUGGACUGUAACUGACACUGAGGCUCGAAAGCGUGGGGAGCAAACA
This 250-nucleotide ribosomal RNA is filed under the name uncultured prokaryote. Its description in RNAcentral is "partial 16S ribosomal RNA". It matches the Rfam family "Bacterial small subunit ribosomal RNA", at positions 524 to 774 of the family's 1533-position model. The record is from RNAcentral.